This 406-nucleotide ribosomal RNA is filed under the name uncultured bacterium. RNAcentral describes it as "bacterial SSU rRNA". It matches the Rfam family "Bacterial small subunit ribosomal RNA", at positions 355 to 773 of the family's 1533-position model. The record is from RNAcentral.
UGGGGAAUAUUGCACAAUGGGCGCAAGCCUGAUGCAGCGACGCCGCGUGAGGGAUGACGGCCUUCGGGUUGUAAACCUCUUUCGCCAGGGACGAAGCGCAAGUGACGGUACCUGGAUAAGAAGCACCGGCUAACUACGUGCCAGCAGCCGCGGUAAUACGUAGGGUGCGAGCGUUGUCCGGAAUUAUUGGGCGUAAAGAGCUCGUAGGCGGUUUGUCGCGUCGGCCGUGAAAUCUCCACGCUUAACGUGGAGCGUGCGGUCGAUACGGGCAGACUUGAGUUCGGCAGGGGAGACUGGAAUUCCUGGUGUAGCGGUGAAAUGCGCAGAUAUCAGGAGGAACACCGGUGGCGAAGGCGGGUCUCUGGGCCGAUACUGACGCUGAGGAGCGAAAGCGUGGGGAGCGAAC